Molecule: ribosomal RNA, 468 nt
Filed under: uncultured bacterium
Lineage: Bacteria
Description: partial 16S ribosomal RNA
Rfam family: Bacterial small subunit ribosomal RNA (bases 20-332)
Source: RNAcentral
GACGAACGCUGGCGGCGUGCUUAACACAUGCAAGUCGAACGGAAAGGCCCUGCUUUUGUGGGGUGCUCGAGUGGCGAACGGGUGAGUAACACGUGAGUAACCUGCCCUUGACUUUGGGAUAACUUCAGGAAACUGGGGCUAAUACCGGAUAGGAGCUCCUGCUGCAUGGUGGGGGUUGGAAAGUUUCGGCGGUUGGGGAUGGACUCGCGGCUUAUCAGCUUGUUGGUGGGGUAGUGGCUUACCAAGGCUUUGACGGGUAGCCGGCCUGAGAGGGUGACCGGGCAGAGUGGGAGAGAGAGACCGGAGGGGCGGCGGCGGGAGGAAGAAGGGGGGAGUGUGGGUGGAUGGGCGGAGGGUGCAGGCAGGCAGGGCGCGUGAGGGAGGGGGGGGGGAGGGGGGUGGAACGCGAGCGACUGUGAAGGAGCGUGAGUGAGGGUAAUGGAUAAAGAAACAAGGGAAAACUAGAUG